Molecule: ribosomal RNA, 2916 nt
Filed under: Triticum aestivum (bread wheat)
Lineage: Eukaryota; Viridiplantae; Streptophyta; Magnoliopsida; Poales; Poaceae
Description: partial small subunit ribosomal RNA
Source: RNAcentral
AUGGGGGAGGGCAGCAGCGAGGCCAUCCAGGACGGCGGGGCCCUCUCCGCCCCGUCGGUGGGGACGGAGGCGGUGGCGGCGGUCAGGAAGACGGUGAAGAUGUCCGAGACCCGCGACUUCAUCCCCUGCGCCGCCGUCAGCGAGGGGGAUUAUUCCAGAUCCUCGGGGUCGUCGUCGGCGGCGGCGGCCCUGCCGGACGUCGCCAGCUGCACCGGCUCGUCGGAGGCCGCCCCGCGCGACGACGCGGACGCGGAGAUGCACCACACGCCCGACUACACCCGGAGGGGCGCCGCGGGCCGCCUCAGGAUCGCGCCGCUCGAGCUCUUCUCCGCGGCCCCGUCUUCUCCGGCGGUGCCCUGUCCUCCCGCCAAAGCUGCCGACGCCGAAAACGCCACCGGCGAUGCUGCCGGUGCGGGUGGAGGGACGCAGGAGGAGGCCAUGGGCUGUCAGAUCGCGCACACUGACAAGGGCGAUGAUGGCUGCUGUGGCCAGCUGAGGCAGGAGUACGACUCACUCCUGAGGGAGAAAGGCGAGUGCAGGAGGGUGCUGGAGGAUCUCAUGAGGGAGAAUGAGCUCAAGAACAAGGAGUGCCGCGAGGCUCAGACGUCCCUGCGCGAGCUGCAGAUGGAGCUGAUGCGCAAGUCCAUGCACGUCGGCUCUCUCGCAUUUGCAGUGGAAGGGCAGGUGAAAGAAAAGUCUCGUUGGUGCCAACUACUGAAAGACCUGGGUGAGAAAUUUAAGGCGUUAAAGACAGAGCACCAGAUCUUACUGAAAGAAUCUGAGGAAUACAAAAAGUGUUUGUCAGAUGCUACACAGAUGACUACAACAAUUCAUCAAUAUGUGAGCCAAUAUGCAAGUUUAGAAUCUGAAUUUAAGGACCUGAAAGAGAAGUUCAGCGAGGAAGCAAAGGAACGCAAGGAUCUUUAUAACAAGCUUAUAGAGCUCAAAGGUAAUAUAAGAGUGUUUUGCCGCUGUCGGCCACUAAACACGGAAGAAACAGCAGAAGGAGCUUCAAUGGCGAUCGACUUUGAUUCUGCAAAAGAUGGGGAGCUCAUUGUUAGAGGCCAUGUAUCAUCGAAGAAAGUCUUUAAAUUCGAUUCAGUCUUCAACCCUGAAGAAGACCAAGAGAAAGUGUUUGAGAAAACUGCCCCAUUUGCAACUUCGGUGUUGGAUGGAUUCAAUGUUUGUAUCUUCGCUUACGGGCAAACCGGCACUGGCAAAACAUUUACGAUGGAGGGAACUGAAGGUGCUCGAGGGGUUAACUACAGAAUUCUGGAUGAGCUCUUUCGAGUAGUCAAGGACAGACAUGACCUCUUCCAAUACGAGAUUACUGUUAGUGCCUUGGAAGUAUACAACGAACAAAUUCAUGAUUUGCUCCUGACAGGGUCCCAACCAAGCACAACAACAAAAAGGCUAGAAGUGAGACAAGUUGCAGAAGGAGUUCAUCAUGUACCAGGACUGGUUGAAGCACGAGUCAGUAACAUGGAUGAGGCCUGGGAUGUCCUGCAAACUGGAAGCAAAGCCAGAGUUGUUGGUUCCACAAAUGCUAACGAGCACAGCAGCCGAUCGCACUGUAUACAUUGCGUGAUGGUCAAAGGAGAAAACUUGAUGAAUGGAGAACACACAAACAGUAAGCUGUGGCUCAUUGACCUAGCCGGAAGUGAGCGUGUGGCAAAGACAGAUGCUCAAGGCGAACGACUGAAAGAAGCACAGAAUAUUAACAAGUCCCUUUCUGCACUUGGAGAUGUCAUAUCUGCUCUUGCAACUAAGAGCCAGCACAUACCCUUCAGGAAUUCAAAGUUAACGCACUUGCUGCAAGACUCACUAAGUGGAGACUCCAAAACAUUGAUGUUUGUUCAAAUUAGCCCCAACGAAAAUGACGUGGGCGAAACUCUCUGCUCGCUGAACUUUGCGAGCAGAGUGAGGGGAAUAGAGCUUGGACAGGCUAGGAAACAAGUUGAUGUUGGAGAACUGUCAAGAUAUAAGCUUAUGGUUGGCAGAGCCAAACAGGACUGUAAGAGCAAGGAUGCUCAGAUCAAGAGCAUGGAAGAAACAAUCCAAUCCCUUGAAGCCAAGAACAAGGCAAAGGACCUUCUCACCAUGAAUCUCCAAGAUAAGAUCAAAGAGUUGGAAUCACAGCUGCUGAUUGAGAGGAAGAUAGCGCGGCAGCACGUCGACAACAAGAUCGCCCAAGACGUCGAGCGAAAGCAGCAGCAGCAGCAGCAGCAGCAAAGCCUCAAGGAAGAGAACAACACCUACAUGAGAAGCCCCAUGUCAGAGAGGAACCUCAACACCACCGUGGAGAGACCGCCACUAUCAGCAGCACCCAAAAAAGACCUCGGGAUGGCGAAACAGCCGUUUUCGGACAGCAACAACAGUGAGACCUACAGCUUCAACCAGCUCAUGUCUCUGGCCGAGGAGAAGGAGAACGCCAACCCAGACGCCGCCGCAAAGGCCAGGCGUGUCUCGCUCUGCAACGGAGGGGCUCAGCAGCCCCGCCGCAGCUCGCUCAUCCCGCUGCCGCGCCGCAACUCGCUGAUGCCGCUCCCCGCAGGCGGCGGCGCCAAGACGCCGGCGCCUGCAGCGGCGUCACCCCUUGACAAGAUCAAGGAGUACUCCUCGCCGCCAUUGAGCUCGCCGCCUGUUAUGUCCAACGACAAGGGCGGCAGCAGGAGCAAGAGGAUCAACAGCAUCCUGCGGCGCAGCCUGCAGAAGAAGGUGGUCAUCCGGCCGGCGCCGUCGGGGCAGGGCGGGAGGAGGGCCGGUGCCGGCGCCACUGCCGCCGCCGCACAGGGUAUCGACAGCGCUCGCCGGGCGGCCGCGCGGCGCGUGCCGGCGAGCGGCGGCCCCGGCGGCGGUGCGCCCAGGGGCGGCGUCCACCAGAACAGGGACAAGGAGAGAGGCUGGAACCACUGA